Molecule: ribosomal RNA, 258 nt
Filed under: uncultured bacterium
Lineage: Bacteria
Description: partial 16S ribosomal RNA
Rfam family: Bacterial small subunit ribosomal RNA
Source: RNAcentral
UACGAAGGGGGGCUAGCGUUGUUCGGAAUUACUGGGCGUAAAGGGCGCGUAGGCGGUACUUCAAGUCAGGCGUGAAAGCCCCGGGCUCAACCUGGGAACCGCGCUUGAGACUGGAGAACUAGAGUUCGGGAGAGGAUGGUGGAAUUCCCAGUGUAGAGGUGAAAUUCGUAGAUAUUGGGAAGAACACCGAUGGCGAAGGGCAGCCAUCUGGAACCCGACACUGACGCUGAGGCGCGAAAAGCGUGGGGAGCAAACAGG